Phoenix dactylifera (date palm) is the source of this 120-nucleotide small nuclear RNA. The record is from RefSeq and is a predicted model, not a curated record. NCBI's taxonomy places the organism in Eukaryota, Viridiplantae, Streptophyta, Magnoliopsida, Arecales, Arecaceae.
UUUUUCCCCAAGUGGAGAGAUGCUUGGCAUCUUCCCUGACAGUGACAGAAACAACCUUCAGGCUUCCCGUUAUACAUAUGCAGUUAAGGCUACCGCUUCAGCAGAUCUUACCCAAUUUGU